Molecule: ribosomal RNA, 482 nt
Filed under: uncultured bacterium
Lineage: Bacteria
Description: partial 16S ribosomal RNA
Rfam family: Bacterial small subunit ribosomal RNA
Source: RNAcentral
AAUGAACGUUGGCGGCGUGGAUUAGGCAUGCAAGUCGAGCGCGAAACGUAGCAAUACGUGGAAAGCGGCGAAAGGGAGAGUAAUACAUAGGUACGUACCCUUGGACCUGGGAUAGCGGCGGGAAACUGCCGGUAAUACCAGAUAAUGUCUCCGGACCAAAGGUGUGAUUCCGUCUGAGGAGCGGCCUAUGUCCUAUUAGCUAGUUGGUAAGGUAACGGCUUACAAAGGCAAAGAUGGGUAUGGGGUGUGAGAGCAUGCCCCCACUCACUGGGACUGAGACACUGCCCAGACACCUACGGGUGGCUGCAGUAGAGAAUCUUCGGCAAUGGACGCAAGUCUGACCGAGCGACGCCGCGUGCGGGAUGAAGGCCUUCGGGUUGUAAACCGCUGUCGUAGGGGAGGAAAUGCAGGUGGGUACUCCCAUCUGCUUGACUGAUCCUAGGAGGAAGGACCGGCUAAUCUCGUGCCAGCCGCCGCGGUAA